AGGGAAUUAGCUCAGUGGUAGAGCACGUGCUUGGCACGCACGAGGUCCUGGGUUCAACCCCCAGGACCUCCA
Molecule: transfer RNA, 72 nt
Filed under: Camelus bactrianus (Bactrian camel)
Lineage: Eukaryota; Metazoa; Chordata; Mammalia; Artiodactyla; Camelidae
Also listed under: 1 other name
Rfam family: tRNA
About the family: Transfer RNA (tRNA) molecules are approximately 80 nucleotides in length. Their secondary structure includes four short double-helical elements and three loops (D, anti-codon, and T loops).
Source: Rfam by way of RNAcentral